RNAcentral lists this unclassified non-coding RNA (276 nucleotides) under fungal sp. RNAcentral's name for it is "partial internal transcribed spacer region". The stretch from base 1 to 65 matches the Rfam family "Eukaryotic small subunit ribosomal RNA", at positions 1767 to 1831 of the family's 1831-position model. Lineage: Eukaryota; Fungi. The record is from RNAcentral.
CUUCAUUUAGAGGAAGUAAAAGUCGUAACAAGGUUUCCGUAGGUGAACCUGCGGAAGGAUCAUUACUGAGUUUAGAUGGAGGGGAGUAAUCCCCUCCUCUUCUUCUCUUCACCCUUUGUUAUUAUUUGUACAAGUUGCUUUGGUGGUUGAUUCUUAUCUUCUGCCAGACAGCUUUUUCAAACACUCUGUUAUCCAACAAUUGAGAUAUCUUCUUGUCUAAUUCUUUACGACUUGAAUAAGUAUGUAAAACUUUCAACAACGGAUCUCUUGGUUCUG